Molecule: non-coding RNA, 139 nt
Organism: Xylaria sp. CBS 124048
Lineage: Eukaryota; Fungi; Ascomycota; Sordariomycetes; Xylariales; Xylariaceae
Source: the annotation of a GenBank genome assembly
GGCAAGGUGGCCGAGUGGUUAUGGCGGUAGACUCAAGCGCACUUUGAAAGAAAAGCUUGCCUGAAGUACUUUGUAAAAAUAAACUUCAGGUCGUAUUCUACUCUCGAAAGAGGCAGGGGUUCGAAUCCCCUUCUUGUCA